Molecule: ribosomal RNA, 468 nt
Filed under: uncultured bacterium
Lineage: Bacteria
Description: partial 16S ribosomal RNA
Rfam family: Bacterial small subunit ribosomal RNA
Source: RNAcentral
GACGAACGCUGGCGGCGUGCUUAACACAUGCAAGUCGAACGGAAAGGCCCUGCUUUUGUGGGGUGCUCGAGUGGCGAACGGGUGAGUGACACGUGAGUAACCUGCCCUUGACUUUGGGAUAACUUCAGGAAACUGGGGCUAAUACCGGAUAGGAGCUCCUGCUGCAUGGUGGGGGUUGGAAAGUUUCGGCGGUUGGGGAUGGACUCGCGGCUUAUCAGCUUGUUGGUGGGGUAGUGGCUUACCAAGGCUUUGACGGGUAGCCGGCCUGAGAGGGUGACCGGCCACAUUGGGACUGAGAUACGGCCCAGACUCCUACGGGAGGCAGCAGUGGGGAAUAUUGCACAAUGGGCGGGAGCCUGAUGCAGCAACGCCGCGUGCGGGAUGACGGCCUUCGGGUUGUAAACCGCUUUCGCCUGUGACGAAGCGUGAGUGACGGUAAUGGGUAAAGAAGCACCGGCUAACUACGUG